AAAAAAAGAUUAACGCUUUCCAUUUUUCUUAAAGUAANAAAGUCAAAAGGUCGUCUUCUUCAAAACUCCAUACAUGCCAAUUCUGACCUCCCUUCCCUCCCACUCUACACUUCGAAUCCACACUUCGAAACGCAAUACCUGCUCUUACAAAGGAAAACUCCUAAGCUUCCAGAUCCUCCUAGCCAUUCCAGGCUAGGGAGAUGGGAGGUUGUUCCUAAAAGGAGCUUUUGAGAACAGAUCC
This 241-nucleotide unclassified non-coding RNA is filed under the name Notothylas breutelii. The record is from RNAcentral. Lineage: Eukaryota; Viridiplantae; Streptophyta; Anthocerotopsida; Notothyladales; Notothyladaceae.